This 1020-nucleotide ribosomal RNA is filed under the name Ceratomyxa sp. 5 PBS-2017. Its description in RNAcentral is "eukaryotic LSU rRNA". It matches the Rfam family "Eukaryotic large subunit ribosomal RNA", at positions 101 to 1087 of the family's 3401-position model. Lineage: Eukaryota; Metazoa; Cnidaria; Myxozoa; Bivalvulida; Ceratomyxidae. The record is from RNAcentral.
ACAAGAGCCCGUAGUCGAAUCGCCUUCUUUACAGAGGGUGAAUGUGACGGUCGCAACAAACUAAGUCCACACGACGGCAAGUGUGAAACCGGUUGGAAUAUCGGGCCAGAGAGGGUGAUAGCCCCGUUGCACACUGACGUCUGUAGCGAGUAGACAAAUGAGUCGGAUAGUUUGGGAUUGCUGUCCAAAGAGCGGUGGUACACUCCACCGAAGGCUAAAUACAGGCACGAAACCGAUAGCGAACAAGUACUGUGAAGGAAAGUUGAAAAGGCGUCUGAAAAGACGGUCAAAAGUACGUGAAACUGCCGGCGGGGAAGCGGAGCGAUUGUCUCUCUGCGUUGGCCUUUGGGUCAUAUGCAGGGUGCAAUGGGGCGUCGUCUGUUGAGAAUUGCCGUGUGUCCGUGGGUUCUUUGAAAGAAGCACUCAUGUGUAACCGUCAACCCUCUCGACAAAGGAUGCCCAACAAAAGGUUGAAUGGGCGACUAUAAAGGUAACUCGCCUGUCCAGGAGAGUUAACUUGAAGCGCCCAUUUCAUUGAAUAGACACACAUUUGAGACAGUCGCUCCGACCCGUCUUGAAACACGGACCAAGGAGGCUGAGGCCGCAACGAGUCGUGAGGUGCGAAACCUGACGGCAGAGCGAAAGCGAGAGUGUCAAUGUUUCCUCUUAAGUUAAAAGGGGAAACAGUCAACACUGACCGCUUUACUACCCAUAGCAAAGCGAGCCAAAGUUGCGGCCGCAGGACCCGAAAGAUGGUGAACUAUGCCUGGCCAAGACGAAGCCAGAGGAAACUCUGGUGGAGGUCUGGACAAGUUUUGACGUGCAAAUCAAUUUGGUGAGCUGGGUAUAGGGGCGAUAGACUAAUCGAACCAUCUAGUAGCUGGUUCCCUCUGAAAUUUCCCUCAGGAUCGCUGGAGCGCACUUUUAGAGGCAACUUCGCCGGGUAGAGCAAUGAUUAGAGGCACCGGGACCCAUGGUCUCGGCCUAUUCUCAAACUCCCAACCGGCGAGCAGGCUCCUA